UGGGGAAUAUUGCACAAUGGGCGCAAGCCUGAUGCAGCCAUGCCGCGUGUGUGAAGAAGGCCUUCGGGUUGUAAAGCACUUUCAGCGAGGAGGAAGGUGGUGAGCUUAAUACGCUCAUCAAUUGACGUUACUCGCAGAAGAAGCACCGGCUAACUCCGUGCCAGCAGCCGCGGUAAUACGGAGGGUGCAAGCGUUAAUCGGAAUUACUGGGCGUAAAGCGCACGCAGGCGGUUUGUUAAGUCAGAUGUGAAAUCCCCGGGCUCAACCUGGGAACUGCAUUUGAAACUGGCAAGCUAGAGUCUCGUAGAGGGGGGUAGAAUUCCAGGUGUAGCGGUGAAAUGCGUAGAGAUCUGGAGGAAUACCGGUGGCGAAGGCGGCCCCCUGGACGAAGACUGACGCUCAGGUGCGAAAGCGUGGGGAGCAAAACAGGAUUAGAUACCCUGGUAGUCCACGCUGUAAAACGAUGUCGAUUUUGGAGGUUGUGCCCUUGAGGCGUGGCUUCCGGAGCUAACGCGUUAAAUCGACCGCCUGGGGAGUACGGCCGCAAGGUU
RNAcentral lists this ribosomal RNA (551 nucleotides) under uncultured bacterium. RNAcentral's name for it is "partial 16S ribosomal RNA". It matches the Rfam family "Bacterial small subunit ribosomal RNA", at positions 355 to 895 of the family's 1533-position model. The record is from RNAcentral.